Molecule: ribosomal RNA, 492 nt
Filed under: uncultured bacterium
Lineage: Bacteria
Description: partial 16S ribosomal RNA
Rfam family: Bacterial small subunit ribosomal RNA
Source: RNAcentral
AGUGAACGCUGGCGGUAGGCCUAACACAUGCAAGUCGAACGGCAGCACAGUAAGAGCUUGCUCUUACGGGUGGCGAGUGGCGGACGGGUGAGGAGUACAUCGGAAUCUACUUUUUCGUGGGGGAUAACGUAGGGAAACUUACGCUAAUACCGCAUACGACCUACGGGUGAAAGCAGGGGAUCUUCGGACCUUGCGCGAUUGAAUGAGUCGAUGUCGGAUUAGCUAGUUGGCGGGGUAAAGGCCCACCAAGGCGACGAUCCGUAGCUGGUCUGAGAGGAUGAUCAGCCACACUGGAACUGAGACACGGUCCAGACUCCUACGGGAGGCAGCAGUGGGGAAUAUUGGACAAUGGGCGCAAGCCUGAUCCAGCCAUACCGCGUGGGUGAAGAAGGCCUUCGGGUUGUAAAGCCCUUUUGUUGGGAAAGAAAAGCAGCAGGUUAAUACCCCGCUGUUCUGACGGUACCCAAAGAAUAAGCACCGGCUAACUUCGUG